Molecule: long non-coding RNA, 2292 nt
Organism: Chelonia mydas (Green sea turtle)
Lineage: Eukaryota; Metazoa; Chordata; Testudines; Cheloniidae
Exons: 3
Source: RefSeq, a predicted model, not a curated record
CUCGCUUACACUUUCUUCUUAGCGCCUUUCUUGCCGCCCUUGGUGAGGCGCUUGUUCUUGCCGACCGCCAUGGUGCCGCCCUGGAGCCAAAGAGGCCGAAGCCCGCCAGCAACGCGAGAUUAUACGAGAGAGGUCCCCAAGAGAACUUUGGAUUCAAUACUGGCAAGUAACAUGCCCCAAAACACAGCAGUCUCACAAAAGUGAUUCUGAUGACAAGCUACUGUGGCCGAAGACGAGGUAUCUCCUGACAUGCCUUGGAGUUUGCAAGGAAUUACGGGUGACAUCUAAAGCUUAAGCUAAAGAAAAGUUGAGCUAAAUCGGCUUGUUUUGUUCAAUAUCAACAUAAUUUCUUGACAGACUGAAGAUUCAAAUUCUAGUAUCACCAAUGACAGGCUCUCACUGUAAAUUCAUUUAUUAAUUCACAGAUGUUUAAAAAUAUAUCUGUAAGCCACUAAUCAUGAACACCAAAUAUGUGAUGCGGGAACAUGAAAGAAAAAUACUCAGAUUUCAGUUAAAAACAAAAGUAAAUAAAAUGCUUUAAGUUGAUCAAAAAUACCUUAAAUGCUCAUUUAAAUGAAAUAGCAUUAUAAAAUAUGAACCAAAAUCAAGUGAUUACUAUUUAACACAUGCUGCAGAAAUCUCCUCACCAAAUCAAGAGUCUCCUUCUGACAAAGACAAAUCUCUAUUUCAAAAUUAAGUUGUUCUCUUGGAGUAUUAUCUUCUUAGUAAAAACAGAGAGGCACGCUCAUAUCAGAGUUUAACAGUUUUUAUCAGAUGCUUUUUUAUCUGGAUUUUAAUUUCUAGCAAAGUGCUUCCACAGCAGUUCCUCAUACUGGAGAUCUCAAAAUAUUUUGUGACAACUUUUUUGUUGUUGUGAUAAAUCUUUUUUCUUUUCCUAAAGGGCUAAUAUUCUAUAGUUAUUCAUGGAGGUCUAAAUCUUUCCCUAUCUCUCUGCAGGUACAGUGACCUCAAAAAACACAGUCACUGUAACACAGAAGCCCCUUGGUGCCAGCUGGCAAAGGAUUCACUGUUCUUUACAAGCAACACCUGUCUCAGACCUGACAAACUCACUACACCUAAUACACAGCUUUCAUGGUAUUUAUCCAUAAAGGCAUGUGAGGUCUCUACUGAAAGCUUGUAACUUAUCAAUACUCCUAAUCAUUGGAAGGUGUGUGUGUGUGUAGAUAGUAUUUAAGGAAUGAUAUAACUAUAUUUAAAAUUAUGCUCUUAUGGUCUUGGAAUAAAAGUUAGUCACCAGGAAAUCACGUCUCAGUGAUAGCCCAUUCAAGAGGGAAGGAGUUGUCACCCACCCUAGCUAGCCGAUUAUAUAAUGUAUUGCUUAAUUGUCCACCAUUUCAACAAUCCAGAAAAGUCAAUGGAAAAUCAUCAAAGACAAAACUAUGAACAUUUAAACCACCUGAAAGUGAAAAGGAAUGAUAUGACAGUGAAGGGAUCACCCUAUCUGAAAUAAAGGAAUGCAAGGAUAAAUCUAUGGCCAGCAGAGUUAAGGACAAGAAGAAGGAGUUUUUAAAAUAUAUUAGGAAAAAAAGAAUCCUGACAAUGGUAUUGGUCCAUUACUAGGUUUGAAAUGGUAGAAUUAUCAAUAAUAAUGCAGAAAAGGCCGAAGUGUACAAUAAAUAUUUCUGUUCUGUAUCUGGGGGAAAACAGAUGAUCUAGUCUCAUCAUAGGGUGAUGAUAAAACUCUUCCCGUUCCUCUAGUAUACCUGGAAGAUGUUAAACAGAAGCUACUAAAGUUGGACAUUUUAAAAUCAGCAGGUCCAGAUAACUUGCAUCCGAGAGUUUUAAAACAGCUGGCUGAGGAGCUAGCUGGAUGAUUAACACUGAUUUUGAAUAAGUCUUGGGGUACUGGGGAAGUUCUAGAAGACUGGAAGAAAGCUAAGGUUGGGUCAAUUUUUAAAAUGAGUAAACAGAAUGACUUGGGUAAUUAUAGGCCUGUCAGCCUGAUAUCAGUCCCAGGCAUGAUAAUGGAGAGGUUGAUAAAGGACUUGAUUAAUAAAGAAUUAAAGGAGGGUAAUAUAAUUAAUGCAAAUCAGCCUGGGUUUAUGGAAAAUAGAUCCUGUCAAACUAACUUGAUAUCUACUUUUGAUGAGAUUACGAGUUUGGUUGACAAAGGUAAUAGUGCUGAUAUAAUAUACUUACACUUGUGUAAGGUGUUUUACUUGGUAGUGCAUGGCAUUUUGAUUAAAAAAUUAGAAUGAUAUAAAAUUAACAUGUCACACAUUAAAGGGAUUAAAAACUGGAGAACUGAUAAGACUCAAAAUGUAACUGUAA